CUUAAUUUUCCACAUUUUGUACAUACGUGUGUGUGUGUGGUGCAAAGAGGCCUUGAGAGCAAGGAAGAUUGAAAAACAUUUUCACUGCUGUAUAUUUGCAAGGACUGUGAGGGUGCACUUUCACCCCCUACCUCACCUGGCUCAUGGAAUACCAGGCUGUGAAGAGACAUAGUCAAAUAACUUCACUGUUUUUUCAGAAGGAGAAAAAGCUUCAACACUCAGGCACGAUGAUGUUGAUAUGUACAGCCUGAGACCAAACUGAGGAAGAAAGAGAAUAUUGAAAACCAGCAACAACAUGAACAACAGUGCUCAUCUCUGAGCUCCCUGGUUGGAACAAGCACAUUACCCAAAGCCACAGGAGCGAUCCAUCUCAGGGUCCUGGUGUAGGACUGAGGAUUUCCUGGCUCCCAACCUUGUGCUCCAGCUCCAAAGAUGCAUUUCUCACAUGUGACUUUCCAAAAGAUUUCAGCUAACUUCAUCCAUGCUGUCCACCUGUAUGGGCCACUGGAAAUGAAAGAUUUAUAACUCCUUGCCAGCGGUUGUUGAUUGUGUCAAGUCCACAUGGAUCUCUUGGUGAUUAGCUCUCAGAUACGCUAGUUCUGUGUAAAGAUGUCCCUGUAAGAAUGAAAACCACCCAGAAACUGCAGAACUGUACCUGGUAUCAAAUGAAGAAAACUUGUGGUAAAAGUCAUAACCUUUGGUGGCAUGAAAGGGAGAACCCUGAUAACUGUGAAGUAAAAUUUCAGGACUUGCUCAACUAAUGAGCUCUCCCAAUACAUCCCUUUGGCGCUUUUGCCAGGCUUUGCCUGACCUGUGUUUAUAGGGCUGAAAGUCACCUGGCAGAGGGUGAACAGGAUGGCUGACACCCUGAGCAUCCACCUUAUGGACAUGUGAGGAGGUCUGCUGUCAGAGAAGGCCUGCUGCCAGGACCUGUGGUGGGAAGUCUCAAUAGUUACUGCCCUUCACCAGCUGCUGGGCUGAUGUUCUCUUUGCCACUCAAGGGAAGAAGAUAAGAGAGAAAGACAGGGGUUGAAUGGCAGGAAUGGAUGAAGAGUAUGAAACAGGAGUGACAGUGAGAAAGAAAGACAUAACAAGGAGGAGGAAAGGAAAGGAAGCUCAAGGAGCCAUGCAGCUCUAACAGCAGGAGAUGUGACAACUCAUACUCAGGUUUGGGAUGAAUACUGCCAGAUGUGCUCCUUGCAGGUUGUCUUCUAAUCCUCAGAACAUAGAACAGAAACUGGGCAAUGUCCAGCAGUGGCAGUCAGGAUCUCCACUUCUUGUCAGCUGGUUGGAAAGAGAAGUAAAUGGUGCUUUGGUAGGAAAUGGAUUUCCCAGCUUGGCAUCCAUUAAACCUCCCAGAACUUCCACACAACAUCUCCAGAAGCAGAUCAAGAGGUAACACAGGCUAUGCAGAUGGAAGCCAAAUUUCAUCCCUAAGCAAAGAUUUUACUCUCUAAAGUGAGAAUCGCCAGCAACUUUGUGGAGUCUAUAGCGAAAACCUCAUUGCUAUCAACUGGGUCUGGACAGUGCACAGACAUAAUAACAAAGGGCAUUGGCAUUAACUCCUGAGGUUGACUUUCUUUUCUUCUGUAAAAAACGUUUCUCAAGAAAAGCAGGGCCUGGUCAGACUUGGCUCUCUAGAUAUCUGACUCCUACUAAGCUCUUUCCUCUUUGACAAGAACAUUCACAACCUUUUUGCACACUGGAAACAUGAAAAGAGUGGGUGAGGUGUUUGAUACGGCAACAAUUCCCUUGCAGGGCAACUAGGACGAAAGGAAUCAGUGUGUUUAAGGAAAACCAGAGUGAUGGAAUUGACACAUUGAAAGUGAUGCUUAUGUGCUGAAUUUCUUUCUAAUCUAAUGAAUUAGGUAACUGUUUCUGUUGUUACUGUUUGAGUAUUGGAAUUGUUCAAAGGUCUUUGGUAUUCAGACAUGGAGUCGGAACAAGAAGACAGGAAAUAACUUAAUGAAAUGUAUUUCUCAGACUUUGAUGCUGUGACAGAAAAGCUCAUAAAUGAUCUAUGGUCCAUUGAACCUUUUCCAAUACUACUUGUGAAUUCCAGUGACUAUGAAGUAUACUUCAUGGACUUCAAAAUGAAAACUGCUGAAAAGGAAAUUCCUUGAUUUGGAAGGGAAAGCUAGUCUUGGUUCCACAGUAAGUCUCAAUAAACUGAAGUGAGAGAAUACAGAGGGAAGAUUGUACAACAGUUCAUACGGUUGAGCAACAUUUAUUUUUCUGAGAAAUAUUGUCUUCUUUCAGUCUGGAAUAGCUAAACUUUUAGGACAUUGCUGUAAUAAAGGUACAUUUGCAAAAGAUUUAUUUCACUAUAAAGUGCCUGAAAAAAUAGAGUAUUGAAUAUUUUAUUAUUCAGUAUUAAUGUUUAAUAUUUAUCUUUCAGAAGUCACGUUCAGAAAAAUAAGCAAUAUAUUACUUGUAGAGUCUUCAUGGAAGAAAAGAUGGUGGUUAAAGUCCAUAUUGAGAAACAAUUUUAUGCUGACAAUUGAUGAAGUCGUUCCCUCAAAAAGAUUUCUUGAUCUUGGCUUUAGACAUGAUACCAUAAAAAGCCAGUCACUUUAUCUAGUUUUUUUUUCCCCUCUAGACUUGCACUGAAGCAUGGGUUUACAUCAUUAUCAUGGAUGUUUGGUUUUCUGAAACAUAACAAAAAAGGUGCCAUUGUGAGAGAACAGGGAAUGAGGGAGGAAGGCAAAGAAUGACUCCUACGUGAUUUGCUGAAACAGAAAUGCAAACAAGAAAAGAGACAGCUUACUCCAAGUGGCAAAGCCACGUAUUUAUGCUCCUGCCCAGUCAGCUGGUCUGUAUUUAAUUUCUCUAUUUUGGUUGUGAGUGACUAUGGCAGAAUGUGAUCCAAGCAAAAGUUCAAGAAGUUACCACCCCUCAGCUGAGACACUGCAAUAUCUGCAGGUAAGUUCCUAGUUUGCCCCAGCUGCAAUUUAAUCGACUUAACCCACACUUCCUUCAUCAUUCCUUGCUUGUGAUUUGACAUUCCACCAUAAACAACAUCCUCUUGAUAUCCGCCAAUUCCUUUGACCUCAUCUAGCAAUACAGUAGGUUGAGCCAGAAAGCAAGCACUUACUUUCAGUUGUCUUUGAUUUCUCCCCCUCGCCCAUUUGGGGAUACACAAUUGCAGUUUCAAACAUUAAUUACUAAGAUGUGUUGGUAAAAUAGGUAGGCACAACCACGUAUUGCAUGUACCUGCUAUGUAAGUACAUGACACAUGUUAUGUAGUGGUUCACAUUGCUGCUUCUUAUUGUAGCUGGGCAAACACUGUGAAAAAUACCUUCUACGAUAUGUUCAACAGCUGAAUUAUUUGGCUUUAGCCAUGUCAAACUUGUUUCUUUCCACAUGAAUAUUUCUUUCCCAGGAAUAUUCUGCUUAUCAAAUUUUACUGGCACUUGUCUAGGUGUGGAGAAAACUGUAUCUGUAAAUAUUUGCUGAAACUGAGUUUUCAAUAUGCGGAAGUACUUAUGUGAGUUGUAGGUGCUGGACCACUCAACCUAUAAGUGUCAGAGCCUCAGGAUUAUGUCUGGCACUCUGUGUGGUUCAGGGAAGGCAAUAUUUGCAAGAGCAGCUCAGAGCCAAUCUUUAAGCUCCCUGGUACUUAUCAUUGACUACUGAAUGCCAAUAUGAUCCUGAAGAGGAAAAUUAUUAUGAGGCUACUAGACACUCAAGUCAUCUUGUAUCUGAAAUUCUUCCUACUCUUUUGCGUAGGCAUGAGAAAACUCUUUCAACUUGUCACAAUUCCUGCUAGUAUCCAGCUACCCACUUGGAAAUGUCUAUUUUGCUGUAUGUGCUUUUCUCCCUGGAAGCUUGUCAAGUGGCAUAGUGGGAUCCUUGUUUUCUAAGAUAAAUAUUUUUGGGAUGAUAAAUGCUAUCACUCACCUCUUUUCCAGAACAUUGAUAUUAUGACCAGUUUUUCCGGGACAGGAUUUUGAUGGCAAGAUACUUUGUCCAUCAAUUUAAAAAAAAAAAAUCCAGGUUUUAGAAGUUUGUGAUUAUCUUUAAACAACGUGGAAAAGUGACAGCCCUUCAAAACUAUUAAAGUAAAACAUCAUGCAAGCAUAUAUUGUUUUGUUUGAAAAAUGCUUUGCUGUUUUUUACUUUGAAACCAAGGUCUAUUGCUCUUUCACAUUCCAUUUUUUAUUAUUCUAAUGGUGCCAUAUUGCUUCAUGAACAAAAGUUACUCAUACUGUAACUAACAUUUAGGAUAUUGGCUUGCAUUUGCUCUGCUGUAAUUGAUUUACUGUCUUGGGUGAGAAACCACAUGGAACAGUGUCUGAGCGUAAUUAUGACUAAUUGCACCUGUACUCCUCAAAGAAAACUCUACCAAAAUCUCAACUCAGCAUAAUUCUGCUCUCAGUUGUACUUGAAAAGAAUAAAUCACUGAACGACUCCAUGGAAAGAGUUUUAUUUUUCAGAGGAAAUCAACAUUUUCCAUACACUGCUUCACAGUUCAGAGAAAUAUGGGAGCCAAGAAACUAAAGAGCCCCUCUGAGGUCGUAUGAUAUUGAACUAAGAUAUUUGAUUUGUCCCACUGUGGUCACACCUCAGUUUCUCAGAGAAGCCUUUGGAAGUGUAAUAGGACCCAUUACUGUGGUGUAAAAUCUAUCGUGUUGAAACAGUGAAGAUAUAUUUAAAGGCAAUUUUUCCUUUACCUUUUUUGGUUUUUUUUGAAGAAGUAGUUUGAAUUACAAGGCGACUGAUUUUGUUUCUUAUAUGCAAAUCUGUAUCAUCAUAUGCCUUUUGGGACUCCAUGAUGGGAAAAUAUCUGUAGUUAAAAUUUUUAAGGAAAUUUUGCUAGAUUAAGAAUGUAGCUUAUUUUUACUUGCAUAUAAUGGCAAAAUUCUCUGUAUUGAUUUUUUAAGUCUUUGAAAGUAAAUAAGUACUAUAGAUUACAGACAAACAGCAUUUGUUAAGGAUAUCAUUGAAAAAGUUUGUUGAAAUAUUUCCUGGGGAAAAUGCCUUUCCAGUGAAACUCAAGUCUUCCUCAAAAUACUGGUUAUUAUGGAAAAAAUAAACAUCAUGCCCUUUCAAAACCAUUUUUAUGCAUCUUUUGUACCUAGACAAACAUCUCCUGGAAAAGUAUAAAAAUAAUAAUUAUAAAAAGAGGUAGAUGUCAUUUUCGAUAAUUUUUUUUUGCAUGUAAUUUUCCAAACAGCUGUUUCUUUCAGACCUACCAUAAUAAAUCAGUACUUGUCAGUAAUCAAAGAAAAGAAUAUAUCAGAUAUCAAACAUAUUCCAGUUUCAAGCUUCCAAAGGAUUACUAUUAAAAACAGCAAGAAAAAAUACAUGACAUAAUGUAUUAAAAUACUUGAGGGCCUUUUUAAAGGGAAAAGUAAAUCCAACCCUUCCUUUUGCAGAUUGUGUUUCACUCUCAGCUAAGGCAGACUUGUGAAAGUGCUAUCUGGAUGUUCUUGAUUGCACCUUCAGGUAGUGCGCUGAGAUCUGGGGCUUCUUCGGCUAGGGACAACACUUGAGAUGUUUUAGUGGAAAUUCAUGCAGAAGCAAAGAGUAGGAGGUGGACUUCGCUGGCCCUGGCUUGUCCAAGCUUUGUCCAACACCUGAGCUGUGCUCAGCUGUGCUCAUGAAAGCUGCACUGUAGCACUCUGUUUUCCUCGCUUAGCCUCUCCAGAUAGCUGCAUUGGCUUUUGCCUGCCCCAAAACAUUGCAAGUCAGCUUUGCCUUCUGCAGGGCUUCACCCGCAUUUUGCUCCUAACAAUUUUCUGUGUCAGUAAAGCUGUCUGAGAAUGUUAAUUUUUUCAGCUAUGUAUUGCAUACGGUUCAAAUUUCACUCAGAAAGUAUCAAGAUGCUUUUGAGUUUUUCCGACAUCUUAUGGGGCCUUUCUGAGAUAGUCCUUACAUUUUGUCUGGCAAAUCAAGUACACAGGUGUAUUACAGGAAUUUUAUGCUGGCUGCACAUAAUAGAAGUUAUAUGUAAGCUGGGAGCUCAGCUCUUUGAGCAGAAAAUGUGGUAAAGAAUCCAGCCUAAACGAAGCAAUUGUUCUUCAUCAGGUAGACACCCAAAUUCAGCCUUAAGCUUAACUUUUUUUUUUCUAAAUGAAAUUUUAACAUCUUUUAACAGAAAAAAAUAAGUUUUUGGUCUGUAAUCUCUCUUGAUCUGUUCUAAUCUGCUGGCUCUUUGUUCUGGAAAGUUUGGAAACGAAGCAAUUGUCAAGUCACUAAUUUCUGCAUUCAGUCUUGCGUGUGAGUGCCCUACAUGGCCAUUGAAAGCCCGGGCAGUGGUUGACAUGGAUAAUGAUGUGUAUGUUUUUGUUGUUCUGGCUGUGUGAGGGCUGACUUUCUCCAGUGAGACUGCUUCAGUGAAAGAGUUUGGGUUUGCUUCCUAACAGUACUUUUAAGUAUGUACCUAAUAUUUGCUUUUUCUAAAGUGAGGUCCCAGAAGUUGUUUUACUGGAGUGUCUACAGAGUGUAGAAAGGAAAGUGACAAAAGUUAUGUUUUUUUUAUCUGAAUGACAACUUGCUUGCACCCGGUGGGUUGGCUUUCUUCUCAUGUCUUGUUCCUUGAGGUGUAUAAGACUUAAUGCACAGAGACCAACUCUCUUGUGAUAAAGCACAAUGUUGUGAAUAGCUGUAGGAAAACCGUUCAGAAGCCUGGCAUUAUGUUUUCCUUCCACAAGUAAUCCCUGUCAGAAGUGUAAUACCAGACUGUCAUCCUUGUGAGGGAACCAUUGCAGGACCCAGUUGGCGGUGGCUUGUGGCAUAGCCCAGGGGAAAAACCUCCGGGAUCAUUUCCCAUAAACUCUAGCUGAACCUAGUAAAAUAUUGGCCACUCUGCAUUCUGCAGUAGAUGAAUGUGACCUCCAUUUAUCUUUCAUAUUAUAAAUAUUUUCUGUGAUUUAAGGCAUUCAUUGCUUCCUUUUGCUGUCAAGGAAAUGAAGGAAAUACAUUUCAGUAGCACUUUACAGAAUGUACUUAUCUUCAGUCAUUGCUGUAAAUAUGCAGUGAUCAUAUUCUCACUGUGCAAAAUAAAUCAGAAUGUUUUGCCAGUUAGCUCACUCAGGUCUCAACUUAAGUUAUGACUAGUGUCAUUUUUUUUCCCUUGUUAAUAAACUUCUUAGCUACAUCACAUUUUUAAUGCUUUUGACUGUUUCACAGUUAUGGUUAAU
Long non-coding RNA from Cuculus canorus (common cuckoo), 7145 nucleotides. RefSeq lists it as uncharacterized. The record is from RefSeq and is a predicted model, not a curated record. Lineage: Eukaryota; Metazoa; Chordata; Aves; Cuculiformes; Cuculidae. The transcript has 5 exons.